Molecule: unclassified non-coding RNA, 212 nt
Filed under: Hevea brasiliensis (rubber tree)
Lineage: Eukaryota; Viridiplantae; Streptophyta; Magnoliopsida; Malpighiales; Euphorbiaceae
Source: RNAcentral
UGACCUUGAAUUGCGGAUAUCCCUGCCAAGAUUUUGAAAAAUGGAUGAACAAAUUAUAUAAAUGCCCAUUAAUUAUAUCAGGUUUAUCGCUCCACAUAAAAAGAACAGAAGAAUCCGUUUCAACAGUUCAAAUAGAUGUCCAUAGGGAAAAAGCAAGCCUUGCAAAGCAUAAAAAACUACGCAAUACACUCUUGGCUUAAAAAAUAAAUUGA